AGACUCGUGGGGGUGGGAGGACAGUAAUAAGCCAGGGCCUGACUUUAAACACUGCCACAUUUAAUUAUUCUUGCGGCUUGUGUAUUUAUCUGAGAGUCAUUCACCCUUCUUUUGAGAAGACUGAAAACAAGACACACAUGUUCUGCCUUGGGGCCUGGGAUGGGGCAGGGCUUGCAAAGACACCAGCAGGUCUUUUUAUAAGGCAGAGCUGAAUGUAAGUGCUCUUUCCUCUGUUAAUUAACUGAAAAGUCCCUCUGACAUAGCAGAAUGGAGGGGACAGGAGACUGAAGAGGACUUCACCUCUGAGUGAAUCACCUGCCAUCCAGCCUGCUUGCUUCAGGAAGCUGAACCCGACGUCUCAUGGCAGGUUGGAGUGGUCCCCUCCACUUGCCAACUUUGCUGGAAAACAUGGCAGCCCAAGGGGAAGAAGCCACCAAGAAGAGAGUGAAGAAUGUGCUCACAGAGACACAGCUGUAAGUGGCAGAGCCGGGAUUCAAACCCAGCUUGGUCAGAAGACUAACACUCUUAGCUACCCCACUCUGCUGCCUCUCUCAUCCUGCAUCGUGAAGGAGUUCACAACAUGCCGACCCAAAAUACGCCACUCUGGCAUAGUGACUAUUUUGAGAUAAAGGCACUUUAAAAAAUAGCAAAUAUGUGAAAAACACUCUGACGAUUCUUCUUUUUCUUAAAAGCAGGAGAUAAAUUCCCAUAUGAAAGAUGUCUUCUCUACACCAGAAGGAAAGUAACGUUCUUAUCAUCCAGGAUAAGUUGAGAUCAAGAGAAUUCUAUACAAACAGACCUUGUUAAAAUCAUUCUUAUCUUCCUUCGGCCUCCCCGCAGAGUGGUGGCUUUUCUACCAUUGCCUCUCUUUGUUCAAUAUACCAUAAAAGCAAGUAGGUUUUGCUCUUUCUUUGGGUCUUCAUUCCUUACGGGUUCUCCCGUGUCACCUAAAACUUAUAUUAAAUAAAUUUGUAUGUUUUUCUCCUGUUGAUCUGUCUUCUGUCCAUCUAAUUCUCAGGCCCAGCCAAAAAGACCCCCGAGAGCGUAAGGGUAGAGCCAGCCUCCCCUGCACCUGCUCCCUCCUAAAUGCACCUGUGCUCCUCCCUCAUUUUACCCG
RNAcentral lists this long non-coding RNA (1117 nucleotides) under Equus caballus (horse). RNAcentral's name for it is "lncRNA (ENSECAG00000046368.1)". Lineage: Eukaryota; Metazoa; Chordata; Mammalia; Perissodactyla; Equidae. The record is from RNAcentral.